GAAAAUAUAGUAAAAAGGUGGAUAGAAAAUUUUGACCAUAUUCUAACCAUUUUCUAAGGAUAUAUGUAGUUUAACCUAGAUCGUAGAUCUGUGUUUGUCAUUCUUAUUUCUUCAGCUUUUUUUUUCAAGCGGCGUUAAGCUUCUUGUCAAUUUAUUUUUUCUACUGAUUUUAUCUUAAUCGAAAGACCUUCCCAUCCCUUUUGUAUUUCUCUGCUUUUUUAUUUUCUACUCUGCUACUUCAUCAUCAUGACCUCUUUCCUUCAUUGCAUGUCAGGUGGAUAAGCUUCAGUGUUGCUGCUUUCACCGUCAUUGUUCCUCUACCCCUUCCAAGGUGAGAUCCAUAUUUUGUGUUUAAAGGACCGUUAUUUAGUGUCAUACUUUGUAAACGAGUAUAGAACCGAACUUGAUUAAUAUACCUAAAUCUGGUUACAGCUGUUUGGUUUUUGUUUUCUAGUCUCAUAUUGAUUAAUUUAGUUUUUUCAAUUGUCGUAGUUCGAGCAUGAAUAUUUUUAAUCUAGUUCUAAUUUAUCUUAUCAUUUUUGUCAAAACACAACUAGGACGGAUCAGUUGAUUGAGACCAUGGAGAAAAACAAGACUAAGAAGAACGAAGAAAAAUUAAGAAGAGCAAAUGAAUACAGAUCAUGUUUUUAAUAUAUGUAUUCUUUUUUUUUGGAACACU
This 679-nucleotide long non-coding RNA is filed under the name Brassica rapa (field mustard). RNAcentral's name for it is "long non-coding RNA (BRAP_LNC006311)". The record is from RNAcentral. Lineage: Eukaryota; Viridiplantae; Streptophyta; Magnoliopsida; Brassicales; Brassicaceae.